UACGGGGGGAGCAAGUGUUGUUCGGAUUUACUGGGCGUAAAGGGCGCGUAGGCGGUCAGCACAAGUCAGUUGUGAAAUCUCCGAGCUUAACUCGGAAAGGUCAACUGAUACUGUGCGACUAGAGUGCAGAAGGGGCAACUGGAAUUCUUGGUGUAGCGGUGAAAUGCGUAGAUAUCAAGAGGAACACCGACGGCGAAGGCGGGUUGCUGGGCUGACACUGACGCUGAAGCGCGAAAGUGAGGGGAGCGAACGGG
RNAcentral lists this ribosomal RNA (254 nucleotides) under uncultured bacterium. RNAcentral describes it as "partial 16S ribosomal RNA". It matches the Rfam family "Bacterial small subunit ribosomal RNA", at positions 524 to 776 of the family's 1533-position model. The record is from RNAcentral.